CCUCGCCUCUGGGGAUGCCCAUGCCUGAGGUCAGCUCAGGCCGCAGUCGGCCGGGUGCGAGGCAGCCCUGGCCCGCUCCUUCCGCCCGGCCAGCGGACCGGUCCUCAGGGCUGUGGAGCACGGUGCGCGCUUGGUAAGAAGAUUAACACCAAGCACUGGGAUGGGCCACGAGCUUCGGGAACUGAACCCGCGGCCUCCUUAGCGCGGCCACGAAUUUCCCUGCUCGGCCUCAACCGCGCCCAGCUCAGCCGCGCAGCCGCUGCUUCUCUCAGAUCAGGGAAAUCACCUGGACAGUCUGCACCGAGCACCUGAGCGCGCAGCGUCCGGGAAAGCCGCAGUUUAACCUUCGCGUCUUCGUUGUCUGGGGGCGCAGAGGCCCAAGGCCUCCUGCCUCCCGCAGGGCCACACACAGCACCCCGUUUCCAGCACAUGCGCCAGACUCCGAGAGGACGCCUGUCCCCGUGGACGCUGCCUCUUCUUGUUCUCUGAGGCCUGGGGAGGAGAGAGAGGUGGCUCCCAGGGCAGGCGAAAGAGAAGAAAAGAAGAAGAAGAAGAAGAAGAGAGAAG
This 567-nucleotide long non-coding RNA is filed under the name Heterocephalus glaber (naked mole-rat). RNAcentral describes it as "lncRNA (ENSHGLG00000033457.1)". The record is from RNAcentral. Lineage: Eukaryota; Metazoa; Chordata; Mammalia; Rodentia; Bathyergidae.